Molecule: ribosomal RNA, 305 nt
Filed under: uncultured bacterium
Lineage: Bacteria
Description: bacterial SSU rRNA
Rfam family: Bacterial small subunit ribosomal RNA
Source: RNAcentral
AUUGAACGCUGGCGGCAUGCCUUACACAUGCAAGUCGAACGGCAGCACGGGAGCAAUCCUGGUGGCGAGUGGCGAACGGGUGAGUAAUAUAUCGGAACGUGCCCAGUCGUGGGGAUAACGUAGCGAAAGCUACGCUAAUACCGCAUACGAUCUAUGGAUGAAAGCGGGGGAUCGCAUGACCUCGCGCGAUUGGAGCGGCCGAUAUCAGAUUAGGUAGUUGGUGAGGUAAAGGCUCACCAAGCCGACGAUCUGUAGCUGGUCUGAGAGGAGGACCAGCCACACUGGGACUGAGACACGGCCCAGAC